UACGGAGGGGGCUAGCGUUGUUCGGAAUUACUGGGCGUAAAGCGCACGUAGGCGGAUUGUUAAGUCGGGGGUGAAAGCCCGGGGCUCAACCCCGGAAUGGCCUCUGAUACUGGCUAUCUCGAGGCCGGGAGAGGUGGGUGGAAUGGCGAGUGUAGAGGUGAAAUUCGUAGAUAUUCGGCGGAACACCGGUGGCGAAGGCGGCCCACUGGCUCGGUACUGACGCUGAGGUGCGAAAGCGUGGGGAGCAAACAGG
Molecule: ribosomal RNA, 253 nt
Filed under: uncultured bacterium
Lineage: Bacteria
Description: partial 16S ribosomal RNA
Rfam family: Bacterial small subunit ribosomal RNA
Source: RNAcentral